RNA transcript from Pundamilia nyererei, 1725 nucleotides. It is a transcript of the gene named RNA binding motif protein 41, with no coding region annotated. NCBI's taxonomy places the organism in Eukaryota, Metazoa, Chordata, Actinopteri, Cichliformes, Cichlidae. The transcript is spliced from 6 exons. The record is from RefSeq and is a predicted model, not a curated record.
UCCGCAAAUACUCACAAUUUGGGGUUAGGUUAAUAUCACACAUAGGUGCGAUACGCUGUCUUUAUUAAUUCCCACAACUGUAAACAUGAAAACGGUGCCAACAGUUUAGUUUCUGUCGGACUACAUUUCCCAUGAUUCCACACCGGAACUGACAAUUCUGCCAGGAAACAUGAGGAGAGUGACCCGGCGACCCUGUGAGGAUGGCCCGCUGCUGGAAGAGCAGGAGACCGAGGGCCAGCGGCAGCUGCAUGGCCUCUUGCUGCAGCAGCUCCACACUGACGUCGACAUUGAACGAUGUGUAGCCAAGAGGCAGUGCUUCGCCCCAGCGGCGCUUUAUCGGCCGUUUGGGGAGCAGGCAGCGGGAGUGAAGAGUCUCUCCCAGUUCCAAGCCCUGCAGGAUGGGGAGAAGGAACUGGCCAGCCUGCGGGAGCUGGGCCUGAAUGACACCGAGAUCCAGCUGUGGCAGAGCAGAGAUGCACCAGAGACAGCAGAGAAGUCCCACGGUGUGUGCGCAGCUCCAGGUGCAAAGGAAGAGCGCCUGCAGGCAAUUAAAGACAAAAUCGCCGCCCGGAUGGAGCUUCUGUCCCGCCCACAACGCUUUGCGUCCAGCCGGCCGCUGUCACGCCGGGAGAUGGAGAUUGAACAAGCCCUGUUUCAUGGGAAUGACCGCCUGGGUUUCCUCACAGCGCUCUAUCAUCGAGAUGAAGAUAAGAAGGAGAACCAACAGGGGGCGUCAUCCUCUGACCCACUGGACUCUAUCUAUAGAGAAGUUCUCAGGGAGCAGGAGGUGAAACAAGCUUCACAACACAAAUCUGAGGGAGAACCGACAGGAGCGCCACACACAGCUGAAUCUGACCAAUCACAAAACCAACAGACAGACAGAAAUCAAUCAAGAGACACUUCUGACAGUCCGUCAGACCUGCAGGCUGGAAACAGUCGCUCAUCCGUCCAGACAGACUCAGUUUCAGACACCUCAAAUCAGCAUGUUCAAAACAAACCAGAGCAUCUGCGACUGGCUCCUCCGAGACAGAUUAAUAUAAGCCAGCCAAUCAGCAGCUUGUGCGGAACAGCAAAGGUGGGGCCAAGCAGACCACUGACUGUGACGGGGGAGAUUGAGACAAUUACAGAUGAAGAAAUCCUAAAGAACCGGGAAUCAGAAGAAGGGAUCCGGAGCAUUCCAAGGUUCCGAAACUACCAGCCGGGGAAACCCUCCAAGGUCUCAGCAGCUACCUUUGUAAACCUCACACUUUCACGAUGAUCCUGAAAGAUCAGUUCCUUUAUCUUUAGGGCAGCUGUGGCACCAAAUGAUUAUUUCCACAGUUUCUGCUCUCAGCACUUCCCAGAUUGUUGUUUCUAUCUAACAUAAAGGCAUUACAUCAUCUGAAAGUGUGCACAUCCACCUCUGCGUGUGGUGUAUUUAUUCCCUGUUCCCCAUAAGGAUAACAUUAAAGGCACAGUGAAGCUGUAUGUUGGCUGCACAGUAGCGCUGCUAAAAUGACACAUUAAAAUGGAACAAAUCAUCUCACAGCAAUUAACAACCUUUAAGAUGUGCAGGUUGAGAGGCACUCACUUGUAAAUUGAGCUUGAUGAUAAUUGUUGUAUACUGUAAUUAUAGUUUCCUGCGAGCACAUCCAAGCUGCAGCUGGAAACAGAGGGCCACAUCCUGGUCCUGUGUGUGAAGAACCUGAGCCCACAGGCGUCAGUGGCCCAGCUGGUGGCGCUGUU